Molecule: long non-coding RNA, 5214 nt
Organism: Dermacentor andersoni
Lineage: Eukaryota; Metazoa; Arthropoda; Arachnida; Ixodida; Ixodidae
Source: RefSeq, a predicted model, not a curated record
UACUUUUUUCAAGAAAAUGUGUACGAACAUUGCCUGCUCGUCGCUAUCAGAUACAAAACCGAAAUCGCACACGCGGCGUUGUCAAAAGCCUACCGUCAGCGCAUCACGAGGCAGAGCAGAACAUUUCUUCGGUUGGCUUGUCGACGACAACGCGCCACUUUCAUUAUAAAACUAAUUCAAAAGAGUGGUUCGAGAUAUUCAGCUGACGGCAACAUGGUUUUGACGUUCCAGAGACUUACGUACGUCGCUGGACCAACUGGCGAAGUGAUAGUUGAGGCGUGGGCCUCAACUCCGGUCGCGAUGUUUGCGGAAUAGUGUCGUGUUGUGCAUAGACGGUCAAGUAGCUGAGUGUCGACGAUAUUCACUGUGUGUAUAAUUUAUUUCCAUUGUGUGAAGAGGCCGCAGCGUGAAGACUGCAAGGACACGAGCCUGGGCUUCGCUGACUAGACUUAGCCAGCCCUCCAGUCACUGCUUCUCAUUUUUGUUGCAAUGUAAGAUGUGUCCGUGCCUACUACAGUGCAUCCAGGAAGACUUGUGCUUUAGACUUUUCCAGAAAUGAGUCGCACCAGCUUUUUGGAAAGCAUCGGCCUGUUUGCCCUGCAAUAAGGCAUAGCAGUUUGAUUUGUUAUUGGUUUAACUGUGUGACGGUGAUGCGACUGUGUUUGCCGACUGACGCCUCUGGUUCGUUAGGUUGCAAAAAGUAAAACUGCACAUUUCUUUGCUGCUUUUAUGUGUCUAUUGGAAUCAUGGUAAAAAGAACAUGUUUUAUUGCAAUGACAAAGUUGUAAUUAUAGAGCUAAAGAAAAGAGCCACUGCAAUGUACUGGUAGAGAAUGUAGUUUCCUCAAGGUAACACACGGGAUGGAAUUGUAUCUGUUUUCACAGAUCUGUUCAACAGAGUGCACAUUUAUGUGGAAGUGUUGCUGAAACAUAUUAAUUGUAGCUAACUUGCCUCAACAGUUUGCAGUGGCAUUUAAUUUUCACCGCACGAAGGAAAUGUUACACAAAGUAAUUUGAUUAUGUAGGCAUAUCAAGAUAGCUUGCCAAAUCUUUGCUCUACAUACAGCCAUUGUAUGCAUUCAGGGUAAUGAGUUAUGUAAAGUGAUAUGGUGAGUUAUCUAUUCAUGUGUGUGCAUGGUGGUGUCAGUGACCAAAAACAGCAAUUGGUGAAUAAAUUACUUCCAGCAUUCCGUAGUUGCAUAUUGCUAUGAUUGAAACAAUAAAAAUACAAUCGCGGAAAAUGUGUACAGUGCAUUAGUAGACACAAACAAUUCUUUGUUCAAUGUACGGUGUGUUCUUCACUAGCAAACGUGGUGCCAUUCUAACCUCUAAAAAUGCUGUGGUCGUUUUUCUCAGUUUCAUGUGUUAGUUUUCUCGCAUAUUAUUUUAUUUCAUUCACAUUUAUAUUUAAUUUCAUAUGCUUCAUGUGAUGUUGAUCACUUUCAUCACUUAAAACUAUGACUGGCAUACAAGUAGCAUUAAAUCAUCCCUCAGCAUCCCUAGUCUAACACUUUGUAGGAAGAUUUCACAACUUUCCCUUUUCCACUUCCUUUUCUACUUCCACCCAACUGCACUUCUCACCAUCUGUUUAACAACCUGAGUCUACAACAUCUGCAUGGUUCCUCUAAUGCCUUCAACAAACCUUUCUUAUCUACUGCUAUUGAAUUGUGGAAUGUACUGCCGAACAGUAUAGUAAAUGAAAGUGAUUGAGAUAAAUUUAGGCACCUAUGUUCAUGUUUUUUAAACCCUUAACUUACCACUGCUGUGCUGUUAACUCUAACGUCUACCACCUUUUUUUUUUUUACUGCUCUGUUAUACUGCCAGUUUGUACCUUUUUUUAUUUUUUCUUGCUCAUUAUUUUCUAGCAUGUAUACUAAGUUCUGUUUACCAUUGUAUAAAUAAGUUAACCAUUGUAUAAUAAUGACCAUAGUGUUUAUCGAUGCAUUUGUCCCCCACCCGCUCCCCUUAUGUAAUACCCUGAAAGGGGUCCUUAAGGGACAAUAAAUGAUGAUGAUGUGUUCAAACAUCAGUUGACGCUUUUGUUCUGCCGAAUUGUGAUGUGAGAAAAGUGUCAUUUUAGUUUAAUAGGAGAGUGUGCAAUGCAGCGUUAAAUACAUGGAGUAAUUUUACUAUUUAGGCAUGAUAGCAAAAUUGCACACCAAAUUCGACCUUUGUGCAUUGCUACCAGGAGUUUGUACGCAUACAGCAUAGUUAUUUAUGUAUAGAGAGAUAGAAACUUGUGUGAGACAUGUACUGCCAUCAUUGCACUAUUGCCACAACAGUAAUACAUGGUUGGAGUAGUCCCAAGAUUUUUCAUGUAUGUUUCCUACAAGCAUGGCAAUCUUUUUUUGAUUGCCAGGUGUAGAACUUUAGUUCCGUGCGUGAUGCAUUAUUUGCAUUGCCUUCUCGGGCUCCUUGUGACUUUGCAGGUUCCUUGUCGUCGGGGUCCCUGGCGCAAGAUCAGUUGCUUGUGUCAAUGCGUGGCCGGCUGUAUUCGUGCCAGCUGUGUGCUUACAGGACUACCGACAAGACGUACAUGAAGGAACACUUGCGCACGCACACAGGCGAGCGCCCCUUCAAGUGCCACCUGUGUCCAGCUGCAUUCUCUCGCAGUUUCGCCCUCAAACGGCACGUGCGCAGCCACACAGGCGAGCGUUACUACAAGUGCCACCUGUGCCCGGACGCAUUCGUUAGCAGUUCCAUCCUUUAUCGGCAUGUGCGCUGUCACACAGUGAAGCAUCCUUUUCGCUGCGUGCACUGCAGUGCAACCUUCUUGCGGGAGCACUACCUCAUCAGCCACAUGUCCUGCCACAAAGGGAAGGAGCCCUGAAGGACAAGAGAUGCAGCUUCUUUUUUUUUUUUUUAUCAGCCAGUUGAUAAAUUUCGUAAUGCCAGCAGGUGAUUUAUAAACAGCACUGAGAGGUUUUCAGGUUCCUGAACCAUAGAGUUGCUUGUAGUGUUACACAGACGGAAGUUGCCCUUCAGGAAUAGUGCCUCUGGUAAGGUGUUCUGUCAUUUCGGCCGGAUAUUCAUAACUAAGUUACAAAUAAAAAAUAGAUUCCAGUCAGCUCGCAAAUUUCUUGCUGCGUAGAAGUGCUGCUUUGGGUAUGUUUGUGAAUUUGUCACCUUGGUCUCCAAUAGAUCACACACACCAUUUAUUUAAAAUUUGGCGAGGACAGGCAACACUGACAUCUUGACCGCAAACGCCACAUGCAAACCCUAAAGAUGGUGUCUCCCAGCUGUAGUGCUCUCUGUUGUGGCCUCUGGCAAGACAUUCAUCGAAAACACGGUGGACGAGAAAUGGUUGAAAUAUAAGGUUCCUGCUCUCCUUCGCAUGCAUCCCUGGUUGUGCAAGUUUCCUUUAUUUUUUCCUCCUAGCUCCCUACAGCAACAGCAGGGUGCAUGUGGUUGCCUCAUACUUGGUGGUCCCUCCUGCCUGCAUUUCACUCUCCCUCUUUCAAACCCUCUCCUGUCUGCUUUCCUUUCUUUUUUUCCCCUUAGCACGAGUUGUCAUAACAGCUUGUCAUUGGAAUAUAGAGUAAAACGUCGAUUAAUGAACCUCAGUAUACCCAAGUUCUCACUAUAAAGAAAUGUAAAUUUUUAUAAGUUCUUGUGUAUAAAACACCAUUUAUAUUGAAUUUCAAUACAAUGAAGUGUGUUUGUGCACAAUUUAGAUGUUUGGUAUAACAAAAUUGUCCAGGCAGUAAGUGGAAAUUGCUGUAGAUGCAUACGAUUAAGAGGUUGAAUUAUGUGUAGCUGCUUGCAUGAAGGUGCUCAUUUUACGAGCUUUGUUAUAUCAAGGUGCAACUGCAUAACGAAUGGCAUGUUUGUUUUAACAAGCUUCAAAAAUAUCUUUCUCCUUUAUAUUGCUUGUUUAUUGGCACUCCAAUUCUGCAAUGAGGUAGCACUUUUUCUUCUUGUGUUUUUCAUAGUGUUUAAUAUAUCUGCUCACCUGGUUCACCUGGAAAGUAAAAAAAGGGAAUCACCACCUGCCCAGUCGCAAUUAAAGAUGUAAUCGAACAAGGUAAACAAUGCCAAGCAUUUUAUCAGUAAAGUACAGGCAAACAAAAAUGCACUAUCUGGUAGUGAAACCUCUGUAAAACAAAGCAGCAAUACAACCAAACUCACUAAAAAUAAAAUCCAGAAGGAACUUCAAAACUGAUGCUACUGCAACAUUUUCAUUGUCGCCUUCUUCACCAUUGAAUAACACCUUUUUCUUGCUUGCACAGCUCAGCAGUCGCACACAGUGUUCAAUGUUGUCUACAGGGGUGUGACAAUAUUAUCAUUGUUGUGUACUUAGUAGAAUGAAUUUUAUGCUUCCUAACAAUACGCACAUAGUGCAAAAGUUCAUUUUGCAACUUAUGCUGUCCUGAUGCAUUGCUGACUUGCCACACUGAGCAUUUUGCACACUCCGCAUUUCGUCACUUGGGCUCAUCGAUUGUUUCCGGAAGUCUGGUGGUCAGUGAAGUUGACUUUCGGCUAUUUCCCAAUGAUUAGCCAAGCACAGGCAAUCAGCCAAGGUUAUUUGCAGUUGGUCAGGGUUACUUGGGACCAUCAUUCCCAUGGUAGUAUAAUGAUCAUAGUGCCAGAGUUCGCUCUAGUAAUUUUUAUAGGAAACUCUAUGGGCAGUGGAAUUCCUGAAAUGCCAAUGAUGAUGUUUAGUAAUGUCAUGUGGAUACUGAGAAAAGCUGGUGUAUGCUCUUUAGGGGCUUGAAAUGUAGAUAGCAGUACGUGUUGCCUGCCCAAAUGAACUGCCAAGAUGUGCAGGCGUCCAGACGGGUAAACAUUCAAGGUGUGCAUAUAUGUACUGAUGGCAAAUGGUUCAAAUGAAUUGACAACAGUGUCUGUCACAGGUUUACUGCAAUAUACACAAGAAUCCAUAAAUUUCUAUUAAGGUAACGUAUCACAACCUUUGGGGCUGCGCUGUGAAUCCCCAGAGUACUGCGAGCUUUGGACUGUGGCAGCCUGUUUUAUUGUUUCAGUUUUUUUUUCAUCAAUUACCGAUGUUUUCUUUCUUUAAUUUGCAUCAAGUAUUUUGUAUGGAAAGCUGUUGCAUACAAAUGUGCAAUUGUCAUUUUAGUUUUUAGCGGCAUUGCAAGGUGCCAUCCUUGAUUGAUUGGAGAAUGUACUUAUCGGUGAAGCUGCUGGUUCUUCAAUGUAAAGUGGUACACGUGUUAAAUGGAUACAUUCAAUAAAGGGCCUAUGUUAGGAGCUA